Molecule: signal recognition particle RNA, 98 nt
Filed under: Chloroflexota bacterium
Lineage: Bacteria; Bacillati; Chloroflexota
Description: Chloroflexi bacterium signal recognition particle sRNA small type
Rfam family: Bacterial small signal recognition particle RNA
About the family: The signal recognition particle (SRP) is a universally conserved ribonucleoprotein involved in the co-translational targeting of proteins to membranes. Archaeal SRP consists of a 7S RNA and homologues of the eukaryotic SRP19 and SRP54 proteins. In most bacteria, the SRP consists of a 4.5S RNA and the Ffh protein (a homologue of the eukaryotic SRP54 protein).
Source: RNAcentral
CAGUGGGCCUCAUGUUCUGUUGCCUUCCGAACCUGGUCAGGACUGAGAAGUAGCAGCCAUAAGGAAUGUGCGCAGGUUCAUGGGUAAACCUGCUGUGA